RNAcentral lists this ribosomal RNA (277 nucleotides) under Staphylococcus aureus S94. RNAcentral describes it as "partial 23S ribosomal RNA". It matches the Rfam family "Bacterial large subunit ribosomal RNA", at positions 1377 to 1648 of the family's 2925-position model. The record is from RNAcentral. Lineage: Bacteria; Bacillati; Bacillota; Bacilli; Caryophanales; Staphylococcaceae.
GGGUUAGUCGGGUCCUAAGCUGAGGCCGACAGGCGUAGGCGAUGGAUAACAGGUUGAUAUUCCUGUACCACCUAUAAUCGUUUUAAUCGAUGGGGGGGACGCAGUAGGAUAGGCGAAGCGUGCGAUUGGAUUGCACGUCUAAGCAGUAAGGCUGAGUAUUAGGCAAAUCCGGUACUCAUUAAGGCUGAGCUGUGAUGGGGAGAAGACAUUGUGUCUUCGAGUCGUUGAUUUCACACUGCCGAGAAAAGCCUCUAGAUAGAAAAUAGGUGCCCGUACC